Non-coding RNA from Mycena epipterygia, 96 nucleotides. The record is from the annotation of a GenBank genome assembly. NCBI's taxonomy places the organism in Eukaryota, Fungi, Basidiomycota, Agaricomycetes, Agaricales, Mycenaceae.
UCGGACGUGGUGCACGGUACACACCCACUCCCAUCACAUUGAUGUACUAUGGAAAAUAUUUGGCAGGAAACCUGGGUUCGACUCCCGGCGUCCGAA